UACGUAGGGUGCGAGCGUUGUCCGGAAUUACUGGGCGUAAAGAGCUCGUAGGUGGUUUGUCACGUCGUCUGUGAAAUCCCGGGGCUUAACUUCGGGCGUGCAGGCGAUACGGGCAUAACUUGAGUGCUGUAGGGGAGACUGGAAUUCCUGGUGUAGCGGUGAAAUGCACAGAUAUCAGGAGGAACACCGAUGGCGAAGGCAGGUCUCUGGGCCACUACUGACGCUGAGAAGCGAAAGCAUGGGGAGCGAACAGGAUUAGA
Molecule: ribosomal RNA, 260 nt
Filed under: uncultured prokaryote
Description: partial 16S ribosomal RNA
Rfam family: Bacterial small subunit ribosomal RNA
Source: RNAcentral